This 4304-nucleotide long non-coding RNA is filed under the name Triticum aestivum (bread wheat). RNAcentral describes it as "long non-coding RNA (TAES_LNC028081)". The record is from RNAcentral. Lineage: Eukaryota; Viridiplantae; Streptophyta; Magnoliopsida; Poales; Poaceae.
CCUCCCCCGCCCCGUCGCCGGCCCUCCCCCGCCACCCUGUCGCCGGCCCCGUUGCUCCCUGCUGCAGGCGCCGCCGCCGCCAUGUCCAAGUCGGGAGCCCUGGAUCUCGCGUCGGGCCUUGGCGGGAAGAUCGACAAGGAACAAGUCAAAUCCGCGGUCGACGAGUACGUCUCUCUCUCUCCCUCCCUUGCCGUUGGCAUGAUCCAUUCCUGCAAAACUUCUUUUUUUAAGAUCGACAAGAAACUGUGGGGCGCUCGAUGAUGUUUUCUCUUUUUGAAAUAAACAAGACACCUUUCAUGCUCCCUGUGUUCUACAGACUUGGAUACAGUGAGUCAGUCACCUGAUCGGAGAGGGAAUUUCGGUUGGGUUUCAAUCAGGAGAAGGGGGGAUUGGGGAUACAGUUAGCACCUACUCCAGAAUACCGGCUAGAUCUUUUCCUAGUAGUACACCAGAUCCAGGGAGUAUUAUUUGGGGCUUCACAUCAGAAAAGCAUGGUGUUCCUUCUGUGUAUUUUGCCGCAUAGAGAAGGUUGUGGAGGAAAUGUACGUAGGUAUGAAAUCUAUACAAUUUGCAUAUGAUUUCUUGAUGUAUAUCUGGGACUUAAGGCAUGAUUUUGGCUGUUUCUUAGACAUUGAGUUAUAAAUGAAUUCCGGCAUUGUUGUAGAUUUUGUAUCAUAUACCUACAGGUUGUGGUAGAUAAUACGUGAUAAAUGAAGGACUCAUAGACUUCUCCGGUCAAAAGACAAACUGAUGUUGUAUUCCUUCACCCCAUCCAUUUUGAGGCCAUGAAAAUUUAUCUUUUCAAGGCAGACUUGCUCAGUAUAAGGAGGAACCUAAGCAGGGACGACACCUGGGUCGGAUCCGAUGGAUUGGUGUCUGACUGCAGAAUUGCUUAUAGCUAUUUAUAUAUGGAGUUUGCAAGUUUGUUAGAAUUGGUUUUCCUGUCAUCCAACUCCUAUAGAAAAUACAUACAUAUGCAUUACAUAGACGUGUGCUUCAUGUUAUGAAGAUAAAGUAACACUUCAGGUUGAGAAAUCUGUGUUUUUUUUUAAUAUCUAUGCUAAGAUUAUAGGUGCCAUGCUUUUGUACUUUUAGUGAUGUUCUUAUAGUAUAAUGUAAACUCUAGCCGAAUUUAUUAAGCUAUUGCUGACAACAUGUCCGGAGAAAAGACAUGUAUGAGUACGUAGCGGGACAUGCAAAAGCUAGCAAAUACUUGUGGUGUAUAUUGAUUAUAUUUGCAUGAUUGUAGAGGUAGAUAUAGAAUGCUCUAAGAAACAAAGGUACAAAUGACACAUGUAUAUUUAUAUGACAAAUUACUGCACAUUUUUCUACUUGAAAGUGUUGCAGGCCAGUAGCCAAGCUGUCGUUUGCUUCCAGUUACAAUUCUACAACAUCGGGAGUAAUUUAUUCAUAAUGCCUACAGCACAUUAUCAUUAAUUGAACCAAAAUGAUGGUGUUCAUAUGGUACUGGCAUUCAUGUUUUCAUGGAGUCUCCUUGAAGCUAGAGCUAAUCAGUCGAUACCCUUGGUUCCAUCUAGGAAUACUUUUACUCUUUUAUUAACAUUUUAGAAUUUAAAAUUUGAGUGUGAAAAAGGUUAUUUGAGUGUAAAUUUUUAUGCCUGUAGUUAUUUCGUACAAUAAAGUUUGUUAUAUUCCAAAUGUAUUAUAUUUUCAUUAUAUUCCUACAGCAUUAUAGAGUUUCAGUAAAAACUUAAAAUUCUAAUAGUGGUGUAGAUACGGACGUGGAGUAUGUGAGCGCUAGCACACAGACGCCCGGAAUCUACCCCGUCGAGGACAGCCUUGUGAUUCGGAUUAUUAAAAGCAGCUGACAGGACCGUGGCCCACAUGAAAAGAUAAACAUAUUCAUACGACUUGACCUGCGGGUCCAGAUUUUCACGGUCGGCUCAACGCCGACAACGGAGAGGAGCAGAUCCGUGGCUCGGGAUGUUACUGCUGUCCUGAUCCAUGGAUCAGGACGGAUGCUUUCCGGCAAACGCCGGCAACGCGCACAGUAACUGUAGUGCGCGGGGCGGUUACGGGGCUAUUUCCUACCUCCCGUUUGUGGAUCCUCCAUUGUACAAAGAUCUGAUUUUUUUCCUGCUGGCUAAUUGUGCAAGAAGUAGAACUCUGCUAGAGGACGUACGCCGGGAUGGAGCCUCUUCAUUAACCGGCGACGCCGCCGCCGGUGUGCGAGUUGCCGGCCAGGACAGCAUCAAGUGCAGACGGGCAGGUCUGCACAAAGGGCGUUCGUCGAGAAGCAGGAAGUGCAGACAAGGGCCAAGCUUCAAAGCAGUCGAUUGAGCAGGUGGAUCCGAAAACACCUGGGUGGACGCAAAAGUAUGCUCUUAGUCAGUGGCUCAGUACCUUGCCUAUAUGAUUAAAUCUAGAAUAUAGACAUAUAUUCAGGAAAAAAUAAUACUAGAAUCAGAUUUGACUGUAUGGUAAUAGUUCACUGUAUGUACAUAGCCCCUGUCAGUAAAUGAUUUUUUCUACAAACUACUUAGAACCUGAAUAUGCUCUUCGUCAGUGCCUUGCAAUUAUGAUUAAAUCUAGAUUAUAGAGAUACACUCAGUGGAAAAAAAAUAUUAGACUCAGAUUUGACUGUAUGGCCAUAGUUGACUGCAUGUACAUAUCCUUGUCGCGCUAGGCAGAGACCCAUGGAAAAAAAGAUGCAUUCAGUUAGUGAUUUUGUCCAUAAACUACUUAGAACCUGCCUACAUAUGCAAUGACAAAUCCAUAGUCUUGAACUCGUUGUGAUCUGCUGCGACACAUACACCCAUUUUAAUUGUCAAACUAUAAAAUGGGGAUUUGAUUCUGUGGAUAUGUUUUCAUGGCAUUGCAGAGUGCGUGUUGGGGCUGCCGCACUAGGCAGAGCCCCAGGCCCUGAUAGGAUUUCACCACUGGAGAGAGCAAUUCGGUGUUUUGCAGAGGAGCCUGGCGAGAUUGUCAUUGUACCGAAGAUAGGCACGAGUUUUGACACUCUUGGUGAGGCAUAUGAUUUCUACAAUCUGUACUAUUGGGAAAAAGGUUUUGGCAUCAGAUAUGGAAAGAGCAGACUAAAUGUGAACCGAACAAAAUGCAUGUGAGAGAUCGUGUGCGGCUGCGCGGUACCGUUAAUUUGAAGCUCUUCCUGUAGUUAGUUACUUACAUGUCUGAAAUUGGUGUUAGAAAAAUCUGAAUUUUAUUGAUUGAAAUUUUUACAAGGAAAACCAAUAGUUGAGAACACUCGAUCGUGUCGCUGCCAUGGUCACCAGCCUCUGCGUUCUGUCGCGCCUGCAACGUUGAUGAAAGGUGAAGGAGAUGGAAAUUUCAGAGAGGAAAACGUAAAAAUAUUUAGGCAUGACUUUACCACUACAAAAAUGUUCAGUCACUGCCCUCGUGCCAAUUCUUGUGUGCUUUAUCCAUGAAACAGUCCAUGCUUCCCCAAAAUUCAUGCAUUUGAAGCUUCGAACUGAGGCUUAGUUCAUUUAGGGAAAUGAAUUGUAGACGUAUUUUUAAAUUUAUGUUUAGUACUAGAAUUCUGUUUCCAAUUCAAUUUCACAUCAUCAUCUCACUAGAAAUUUCAACAUGCUACGCUUGCUCGUUUAGACUAGACAACCUUAUGAAAGCGUAGAAGAGAUCUUAAGCAGACUGAAACCUAUGGACUAAAACUGGAGCAACAGUUCAAUAGCGUUGGUGGUGUUGUUCUGGAAUUCUUUAUGUCGUGAAAUAGCUAGGAAAAUUGCAUUGGUGUACUGUGUAUAGUAUGGGGUCCUCAAACUGAGAUUAUAUUGUAAGAAAAUGCGCCUUAAGGUUUGCACCGUUGUAUUAAGCCGUUCCUUAUUUCUAUUAGAGGUGUUUUUGCAGAUGUGUUCCUGCUUCUAUCUACUGAUCAAAUGACUUGCUAUUUCAUUGUUUUCUGGCAAUAUAUUAUUAAGUAGUAAUGACUGAUAAGAAUAAGAUAAGCCAGCUGUGAGUGUGAAGUGGCUGAACUGAUGUUUCAAAUUCAUAAUCUUCAUUGCAAGUACAUGAACUGAUGUUUUUCCCGCAUAUUGCUCAAUUUAUACUAUGUCUUUAAUUUACUAGAUGAACUGCACACCUCAACGCAACACUAAUGCAAAGAUUCUGCAUCUUGGUCGGCUGCUCGCGGCGGGGCUUGUGUCUGGUGCUUGCGACAGUGGCAGAGCAGUCCCGCGAGCGUGGCGCAAGUAGUGGCCCCUGCUAUGUGGGCUGAUGCAAGCGCGGCGCAAGCACUUCAAGUCUGACAAUGUCCACUCUACAAGGUACAUAGGCACUCGUGCAAAGAUCUAACAUCUUCAUCGACU